Molecule: non-coding RNA, 987 nt
Filed under: Brassica napus (rape)
Lineage: Eukaryota; Viridiplantae; Streptophyta; Magnoliopsida; Brassicales; Brassicaceae
Description: Eukaryotic large subunit ribosomal RNA
Rfam family: Eukaryotic large subunit ribosomal RNA
Source: Rfam by way of RNAcentral
CGACCCUAGGUCAGGCGGGAUCACCAGCUGAGUUUAAGCAUAUCAAUAAGCGGAGGAAAAGAAACUAACAAGGAUUCCCUUAGUAACGGCGAGCGAACCGGGAAGAGCCCAGCUUGAAAUUCGGACGUCUUUGGCGUUCGAAUUGUAGUCUGGAGAAGCGGCCUCAGAGAUGGAUCGGGCCCAAGUUCCCUGGAAAGGGGUGCCAGAGAGGGUGAGAGCCCCAUCGUGCCCGGACCCUGUCGCACCACGAGACCUGUCGCACCACGAGGCGCUGUCUACGAGUUCGGUUGUUUGGGAAUGCAGCCCCAAUCGGGCGGUAAAUUCCGUCCAAGGCUAAGUAUGGGUGAGAGACCGAUAGCGAACAAGUACCACGAGGUAAAGAUGAAAAGGACUUUUAAAAGAGAGUCAAAGAGUGGUUGAAAUUGUCGGGAGGGAAGCAGAUGGGGGCCGGCGAUUCAUCCCAGUCGGAUGUGGAAUGGUGGAAUCCAAGCCGCCAAUCGAUUCGGGCCGUGGACCGACGUGGAAUAUGGUGGUGACCUAAGCCCAGGCUUUUGUUACGCCCGUGGAGACGUCGCUGCCUUAAUCGUGGUCUACAGCACGCGCCUCACGGCGUGCCUCGGCAUCUGCAUGCUCACGGCGUCGGCGUGUGGGCUCCCCAGUCGACCCGUCUUGAAACACGGACCAAGGAGUCUGACAUGUUUGCGAGUCAACGGGUGAGUAAACCUGUAAGGCCCAUGGAAGCUGAUUGGCUGGAUCCCUCACGGGUGCACAGCCGACCGACCUUGAUCUUCUGAGAAGGGUUCGAGUGUGAGCAUGCCUGUCGGGACCCGAAAGAUGGUGAACUAUGCGUGAGCGGGGCGAAGCCAGAGGAAACUCUGGUGGAGACCCGCAGCGAUACUGACGUGCAAAUCAUUCGUCUGACUUGGGUAUAGGGGCGAAAGACUAAUCAAACCAUCUAGUAGCUGGUUCCCUCGGAAGUUUCCCUUA